CGGGACGGGUGAGUAACGCGUGGGUAACCUGCCUUGUACAGGGGGAUAACAGUUGGAAACGGCUGCUAAUACCGCAUAAGCGCACAGCAUCACAUGAUGCAGUGUGAAAAACUCCGGUGGUAUAAGAUGGACCCGCGUUGGAUUAGCUAGUUGGUGAGGUAACGGCCCACCAAGGCGACGAUCCAUAGCCGACCUGAGAGGGUGACCGGCCACAUUGGGACUGAGACACGGCCCAA
RNAcentral lists this ribosomal RNA (236 nucleotides) under uncultured bacterium. Its description in RNAcentral is "partial 16S ribosomal RNA". It matches the Rfam family "Bacterial small subunit ribosomal RNA", at positions 100 to 334 of the family's 1533-position model. The record is from RNAcentral.